RNAcentral lists this ribosomal RNA (870 nucleotides) under Streptomonospora sp. XJ 11086. RNAcentral describes it as "bacterial SSU rRNA". It matches the Rfam family "Bacterial small subunit ribosomal RNA", at positions 86 to 953 of the family's 1533-position model. Lineage: Bacteria; Bacillati; Actinomycetota; Actinomycetes; Streptosporangiales; Nocardiopsidaceae. The record is from RNAcentral.
GGGACACGAGCGGGGAAGCGUGAGUAAACGUGAGCACCUGCCCUGACUCCGGGAUAGCCGGGGAAACCGGUCUAUACCGGAUAGGGACGCCCCGUCCAUGGGGGGGUGUGGAAAGGUUUUUUCCGGUCAGGGAGGGCUCGCGGCCUAUCAGCUUGGGUGGGGGGGGGGAAGGCCUACCAAGGCGAUUACGGGGUAGCCGGCCUGAGAGGGCGACCGGGCCACACUGGGACUGAGACACGGCCCAGACUCCUACGGGAGGCAGCAGUGGGGAAUAUUGCGCAAUGGGCGAAAGCCUGACGCAGCCACCCCGCGUGGGGGAUGACGGCCUUCGGGUUGUAAACCUCUUUUUCCACCGACGCAGGCCCGCGCUUCUGUGCGGGUUGACGGUAGGUGGGGGAAUAAGGACCGGCCAACUACGUGCCAGCAGCCGCGGUAAUACGUAGGGUCCGAGCGUUGUCCGGAAUUAUUGGGCGUAAAAAAGCUCGUAGGUGGUGUGUCGCGUCUGCUGUGUAAGUCCGGGGCUUUAACUCCGGUUUUGCAGUGGAUACGGGCAUGCUAGAGGUAGGCAGGGGAGACUGGAAUUCCUGGUGUAGCGGUGAAAUGCGCAGAUAUCAGGAAGGAACACCGGUGGGCGAAGGCGGGUCUCUGGGCCUUACCUGACGCUGAAGAGCGAAAGCGUGGGGAGCGAAAAGAUUAGAUACCCCUGGUAGUCCACGCCUGUAAACGUUGGGCGCUAGGUGUGGGGACCUUCCACGGUUUCCGUGCCGUUACUAACGCAUUAAGCGCCCCGGCUGGGGAGUACGCCGCAAGGCUUAAACUCAAGGUAUUGACGGGGGCCCGCACAGCGGCGGAUCAUGUUGUCUUAAUUCG